GAAAUUUAGAUCCAUAUAAGUACCUAUAACUUUCCGGGUCGGUUCCGGGUAGGUCCGGGCCGGUUCAUAUCUGUAAUUCCAAUACCUGUAAAAUACCAUAAUUUCCGGGUCCAUAUCGGGUCAGGUAUUUAGGAUCUGAAAAAGACAUAACAUACCCAUACUUACUCAAAUUUAGUCAAUAUUUAUCAUAUAUAUCAAAUUUUUUAUAAAAUAACUUAAAUUAAACUAUUAAUAAUUAACAUAAAACAUUUUUAAACUCUAAGUUUUAAAUUUUAAAAUUUUAUAUUACUUAAAAAUGUUACAAAAUAAUAAUAAAUAUUGUUAACAUAAGAUAUUUAAACUAAAUCAUAAAAUAAUAUAAAUAAAACAGAACACAAAAAAAUCAUAGUUAUGGAUAUACAUGUUUUUAAGUCGGGUACGAGGGAGUUUUUAUCGGGUCGGGUCCAUUCGGGUUGGUUCUUUUUGGGUCCAGGUCUAUUCGAGUAAAAAAAAUUUAGACCCAAAAGAUACUUGUAAAUUUUCGGAUCGGGUAUUUCUAGGCCGGUUCCUAUUCGGGUUUUCAGAUCCAGGUUAAAAUGCCCAGGCCUAGAGGAGAUCCAUAAACUACGAAGAAGAAGAUCCGGUGUGAAGACAGAAAAAUAAGAAUUGGAUCAAAGAAACAUCUCGAUAGGGUAAAAUGAUAAGAGAGUAUGAGCAAGAACUCAAGCUUUGUUGUGUUUGGCUUCGUGUGAUUCUUGUUUUUCUUUCUAUCGAUUAUAUAGUUCGCGAAGCCUGGAUUUCCAGGAGUACUAGAGCUUGUUAAGGAGAUUGGUUUGGAUGGUCAAUGUAUGCUUGAUCCAAAUACUAGCCGAGCUUUGAGAAUAUAUCCUCUUGAAAAAUUACAAGAUGCGAAAUAAAUUUGGAGGCGUGUUGUAAGAGGUGUGCACACCCCCUUGAUUUUGUUGCAACAAAUUGGUCUCUUCAUUGAUUGUGGUAAUCCUUGCCUAUGGCUUUGAUUCUCCAGCUCCAAUUGUAUAGAUUCAGAGUUGUGGUUCUUCUUACUCCUUGUCUUGGGUGGACGCUAGGUCAACACAUGCUCUCUUCCUCGUCUACCUAGGUUGUAUCCAUAAGGAUUGCUCGUGGCUCCUCGCCUUUGCUGGAGCAAUAUAAUGAGUUUCUGGCCUCAACCUUAACAAAGUCAGCUUUUGUGCAUUUAUCAUUAUUCUCCUCUUCUUUUUGUUUGCAUUUCCUGUUCAGAGGAUGUUUCGGUGAUUCUUGGUCUAUGAUCUGUUUCUGUUUGAAUUAAGCAAGCAUUGUUGCUUUAUGCUGUUUCUAGAUAUUGAUUAACAAUCA
Long non-coding RNA from Raphanus sativus (radish), 1332 nucleotides. RefSeq lists it as uncharacterized. The record is from RefSeq and is a predicted model, not a curated record. Lineage: Eukaryota; Viridiplantae; Streptophyta; Magnoliopsida; Brassicales; Brassicaceae. The transcript is spliced from 4 exons.